AAAACAUUUCAAUCCUUUUCAUUAGAACAAAGCACUAUUCUCUUGACGGCUUUCAAAUGCAUAUUGUUUAGCUAUUAUGCUCUAACCUUGACUAUUAUAUUCCAAGCACAAUAGCAGUGGGAGCUUUCUGCUUUUUUGUUCGUUAGUGAUCAUGGUAAGAGAAUUUCUCUUUUCCAGGGUCAGUGAAAUAUUCUGUUACAAAGGAAAAAAAAAAAAAAAAGAGGAAAGAUAUAUUUAUGUUACAGUAGCAGUGAGAAGGAAGUCUGAGGUCUCCCCUUGUGUCUCAAAUUUCAGGUGGAAUGGUUCCCAGUAUGGAUUUUUACCCUAGUGGAGCUUGUACUUCUCUUGACAGAAAUCAAAGACUGCAAGUGCAUCCUGCCUAGACUGCUCAUAUGACUAGUGACAAGCUGAUGCUAAAGUGACUGCAGUGUUAGCUACUGAAAGCCUCAGGCAAUGUACAGCAGGGGAUUGCGGUUAAGGAGUAGCACUGAAACCCUUCUGGCUGAACAGCUCGGGGGCCUGGCCAUGUCCCUGGCACCUGGAUGGAGCUGCUCUGAUCCCCGGGGACAGCCCUGACCCUAUGCUGGCGGAUGAGCUGCUGAGCCCUGGUGUGUUCUGGUGGGUCGCAGUUUUCCAGGAGGGAGCACAGCCAGGCACAGCACUGCUAAUUGCAGGGACGGGUCUGUCAUCAGGACACAGUCCGAUGAGCUGCUGCAGUCAAGUAAAUCUGUGUAUCGCCUCGCAGCGGAGGGGCGUUGCAGAUGCAUAGGAUUUAAGAGCUCUCACCUCCCGCUCUGACACUGGUCCUGCAUGGUUCCUGCGCGGAUGAUGAAGCAUCCACCUCGGGUGCUCAGGUCACUCCGCCGCUCACUGGUGAGGUGCUGGAAGGCUGCUCUGUAUUCGGAAAUGCUGCAGAUCAAGUAUGCAUCUUGGCUGCAUGUCUGGAUUUUCCUUCCAUGGAAACAAGCAUCUGGUAAGGAUGGCUGUGUGUGCCAUCAGGUUUCUCUUUGGGACAGGUUGGAGAUGGGUGUUUGCACAGAGAAGUGUUCGCAUAUUACUCACCCUGUAAAUACCUGA
Molecule: long non-coding RNA, 1077 nt
Filed under: Anas platyrhynchos platyrhynchos (common mallard)
Lineage: Eukaryota; Metazoa; Chordata; Aves; Anseriformes; Anatidae
Description: lncRNA (ENSAPLG00000019431.1)
Source: RNAcentral